GAAUAUUGGACAAUGGGGGGAACCCUGAUCCAGCCAUGCCGCGUGUGUGAAGCAGGCCUUUUGGUUGUAAAGCACUUUAAGCGAGGAGGAGGCUACCUGGAUUAAUACUUUAGGAUCGUGGACGUUACUCGCAUAAUCAGAACCGGCUAACUCUGUGCCAGCAGCCGCGGGAAUACAGAGGGUGCGAGCGUUAAGCGGAGUUACUGGGCGUAAAGCGUGCGUAGGCGGCCAAUUAAGUCAAAUGUGAAAUCCCCGAGCUGAACGUGGGAAUUGCAUUCGAUACUGGUUGGCUAGAGUAUGGGAGAGGAUGGUAGAAUUCCAGGUGUAGCGGUGAAAUGCGUAGAGAUCUGGAGGAAUACCGAUGGCGAAGGCAGCCAUCUGGCCUAAUACUGACGCUGAGGUACGAAAGCAUGGGGAGCAAACAG
Molecule: ribosomal RNA, 425 nt
Filed under: uncultured bacterium
Lineage: Bacteria
Description: partial 16S ribosomal RNA
Rfam family: Bacterial small subunit ribosomal RNA
Source: RNAcentral